ACUUAUUCCUAGAAAAAGGGAGCUACUAAAAGACCUUGGUCAGUCUCGAAGACUUGUUGGCAAUCUUAACUACUCACAAUUACACGUUCAGACAUUUCAUUUACUGUAAGUGUGGUUAGCCAAUUUCUUCAAGCUCCUUGCGAUAGUGAUUGAAAAGUAGUAGUCCACAUCCUUAGGUAUAUCCAAGAGCUCCAGGGCAAGGUUUGUUAUAUGAAGAAUGAGGACAUACACAUAUUGUUGGGUAUUCUGAUGUAGAUUGGGCAGGUUAUCCCCUAGAUAGAUGAUUUAUUUAGGAUAUAGUAUCUUAAUUGAGAAAUCUAAUAUGGAGGAGACAAACAAAUUAAAUUGAUUUGUGACAAUCAAGUAGUCCUAUGUAUUAUCUCAAAUCUCGUAUUUCAUGAAAGAACAAAACAUGUAAAGAUAGACUAUCAUUUCAUCAGACAAAAGAUUGAGUUAGUAUGUAUUGCUAAUCAUUUUCUCUCCUUAAAUAAUUAGUUGGCAG
RNAcentral lists this unclassified non-coding RNA (502 nucleotides) under Hevea brasiliensis (rubber tree). Lineage: Eukaryota; Viridiplantae; Streptophyta; Magnoliopsida; Malpighiales; Euphorbiaceae. The record is from RNAcentral.